AUAUCCGUCUUCGAUACACUAGAUUAAUAUUUAUGAUUUUUCUAAUAUUUAAUAUUUUUGUAGUAUGGUCAUGAUGAAUCUGUGGUCUUCGGUUACAUAAAAACUUUUUUCUUUUUCCCAAAGCUUGUAGAACAAUGCUGAGAAUUUUCUCUGUCCGUGAACUACUAUUUAAUUUUUCUAAUUUACAAUCGGUACAAUUAAAAAAAUAGAAAAUACAACAGGACAGAAGUAGCAUCUGGACGGUGCCUGCUGGGACGCAUGUUAGAUGGAAUAACCGCGAGCCUCGUUUAUAAUAUAUGGUUGGCUGUGAUUUGUACGAUAUUUAAAGCGCGUAGGGAGAGCAACGAGUCGGCAAUGGGCUCAUUAAAUUGGGCCGUAAGCCGCUUUACUCUCGAGCGGGAUGGGCCAUCCAUAUAAAUAAUCCAACGAGUAGUGAUUUUUCGCAUCACUUUUCUUAUUGAGUUAAGCUUUUCACACCCCUCAAAUUUCCUUAUAAAACUGCUCUCCUGAAGAUAUCGCAUCAAAAAUAAAUA
Molecule: long non-coding RNA, 533 nt
Filed under: Citrus x clementina
Lineage: Eukaryota; Viridiplantae; Streptophyta; Magnoliopsida; Sapindales; Rutaceae
Description: Citrus clementina (C. clementina) long non-coding RNA (CCLE_LNC003828)
Source: RNAcentral